CGCCGCCGCCGCGCCGCGGCCCACGGGCAGAGUCGGCCCGGCGGGCUGGCAUUAAACUGAAGAAAAGAUGUCCCUGUACGAUGACCUGGGAGUGGAGGCCAGUGACUCGAAAACAGAAGGCUGGUCCAAAAACUUCAAACUCCUGCAGUCUCAGCUCCAGGUGAAGAAGGCGGCUCUCACGCAAGCCGAGAGCCAAAGGACAAAGCAAAGUACAGUUGUUCUUGCCCCAGUCACUGACCUAAAGCGAGGCGGCUCCUCAGACGACCGGCAGCUUGUGGACUCACCACCGCAUGUCGCCGCUGGGCUGAAGGGUCCUGUUCCCAGUGGGUUUUCUGCAGGGGAAGUUCUGGUUCCUCUAGCUGGCGAAUAUGAUCCUAUGUUUCCUAACGAUUGCGAGGAAGUAGUGAAGCGCCAAAGAGAGGAACGACAGAGACGGCGGGAGCUGGAAAGACAAAAGGAAAUAGAAGAAAGGGAAAAGAGGCGUAAGGACAGACACGAAGGCAGUGGGUUUUCAAGACGACCAGAUCCAGAUUCUGACGAAGAUGAAGACUAUGAGCGAGAGAGGAGGAAAAGAAGUAUGCGGGGAGCUGCCAUCGCCCCACCUACUGGUCUGGUGGAGAGAGAUAAAGAGUUACCUCGAGACUUCCCCUAUGAAGAGGACUCAAGACCUCGGUCACAGUCUUCCAAAGCUGCUAUCCCUCCCCCAUCAGACGAGGAACGGGACAGACCGAGAUCUCCAACUGGGCCUAGCAACUCCUUCCUCGCUAACAUGGGGGGCACGGUGGCACUUAAGAUCAUGCAGAAGUACGGCUUCCGGGAGGGCCAGGGCCUGGGGAAGCACGAGCAGGGCCUGAGCACCGCCCUGUCGGUGGAGAAGACCAGCAAGCGUGGCGGCAAGAUCACUGUAGGUGACGCGACGGAGAGAGGUGACUCCCCAGGGAAGUGCGAUGCAACUAAGAAGUCGGAUUCAAAUCCAUUAACUGAAAUACUUAAGUGUCCUACUAACGUGGUCCUAUUGAGGAACAUGGUUGGUGCAGGAGAGGUGGAUGAAGACUUGGAAGUUGAAACCAAGGAAGAAUGUGAAAAAUAUGGCAAAGUUGGAAAAUGUGUGAUAUUUGAAAUCCCUGGGGCCCCAGAGGAUGAAGCAGGGCAGAUAUUUUUAGAAUUCGAGAAGGUAGAGUCAGUGAUGAAAGCUGUUGUUGAUCUGAAUGGGAGGGAAAUUGGUGGACGGGUGGUAAAAGCAUGUUUCUACAAUUUGGAUAAAUUCAGGGUCUUGGAUUUGGCGGAACAAGUUUGAUUUUAAGAACUAGAGCACGAGUCAUCUCCAGUGAUCCUUAAAUGAGCUGCAGGCUGAGCGAAGGCGGAGAGAGGCCACAGCCUCCGUGGCUGUUGGAUACUGAGACUCUUGGAGGGACUUCUAAGAUAUACGUUGAUGGGACCCUUUUUUAUUUUGUGGUUUUUUAA
Microcebus murinus (gray mouse lemur) is the source of this 1464-nucleotide non-coding RNA. Lineage: Eukaryota; Metazoa; Chordata; Mammalia; Primates; Cheirogaleidae. The record is from RefSeq and is a predicted model, not a curated record.